GAAAACAAAAAAUCAUGGCGGUAUCUUAAGCUUUUCAGAGGAAUUUGCUCUUUAAUGGAUAAAACACCCAAAUCUUACUGAAAUUGGUUAAGACAGUUUGUAUACCACUAUUUAAGUAAUUAUUAAUUAUAAUUACUGUAAAUUUUAAACAAAAAAAAAGUUAAGUCAAGGUGCAGCUUAAAUUUUAGGAUGAAGUGAAUUACAACGCUUUUUAGAAAAGUGAUUAAAAAAAAUUAGGAUUUGAAAGUAAAAAUUUUAAUAGAAUGAUUAUUUGAAUUAAGCUCUGAGAUAUGUA
This 295-nucleotide ribosomal RNA is filed under the name Amblyomma sculptum. RNAcentral's name for it is "partial small subunit ribosomal RNA". The record is from RNAcentral. Lineage: Eukaryota; Metazoa; Arthropoda; Arachnida; Ixodida; Ixodidae.